This 65-nucleotide transfer RNA is filed under the name Mustela putorius (European polecat). Its description in RNAcentral is "tRNA-Pro". The record is from RNAcentral. Lineage: Eukaryota; Metazoa; Chordata; Mammalia; Carnivora; Mustelidae.
CAGGGAAUAGUUUAGUUAGAAUAUCAGCUUUGGGUGCUGAUGGCGGGGCUGAUGCUUCUUCCUUG